Oncorhynchus tshawytscha (Chinook salmon) is the source of this 349-nucleotide long non-coding RNA. Lineage: Eukaryota; Metazoa; Chordata; Actinopteri; Salmoniformes; Salmonidae. The record is from Ensembl.
UUUCUUUGUUGCACCUAAGUGAAAGGAUCAUUUGCAAGCUCAUGUAACGCGGAGUGGCGGACCUGUCCUCAUCAUGGUCCCAAGACAAUAAACCAACGACAGGAUCGAUGCUGGAGACGAGAAGCAAGUACAGGGAGUGAACAUUUACUGGAGAACGGACAUCAAACCAAAACAACAACAGUGUCUGGACAGGGGGAACAAAAUGACAUAACUACAAUAAUGCUGACACGGGGAACCAACUGAAGAACAGACCGAUAUAGAAGGGCAAUCAACAAAGUAAUGGAGCCCAGAUAGACUCUGACACGGUGUGAAAGGAGGGCCGGGACAACUGUUAAAGACUCCAGCCACC